Molecule: long non-coding RNA, 410 nt
Organism: Spinacia oleracea (spinach)
Lineage: Eukaryota; Viridiplantae; Streptophyta; Magnoliopsida; Caryophyllales; Amaranthaceae
Exons: 2
Source: RefSeq, a predicted model, not a curated record
UAGAUGAAAACCAUAGUACUUAGUCAGUGAAUCAGUAGUAGGUCGUAGCCGGCGCCUCCCUCCUCACUUUUCAUUGUACGUUGUAUGAAUGUCUAAUGGAGUAAUUGAGAAACCUAGUCAGUAGUAGUUCUCGGCGAGCCUCCUUCUCUGUUACUCUUUCUUUCUCAUUCCGUCCUCCCGUCGAGCUGGGGAGCCGCAGCUCAUACCUCAAGGUGAACGUUCCAAAAGUGAAGAAAUCUAUUGUACUGCAAGAACAAGGAAUUAAUUUACUGCCUUCUUGUUUUUGUUUUACUGCUUCCUUAUUUUAGUUGAAGAUAGUUAAGGCAUGGACAAUUAAUUUAGUUGCCAUAUCAUAUGUACGGUAAAACUUGUUUAGCCAUAUUGAAAGGUCACUUCAAUAUUUUCUUGCA